This 488-nucleotide ribosomal RNA is filed under the name uncultured bacterium. RNAcentral describes it as "partial 16S ribosomal RNA". It matches the Rfam family "Bacterial small subunit ribosomal RNA", at positions 30 to 505 of the family's 1533-position model. The record is from RNAcentral.
AUUGAACGCUGGCGGCAGGCCUAACACAUGCAAGUCGAACGGUAACAGGAAACAGCUUGCUGUUUCGCUGACGAGUGGCGGACGGGUGAGUAAUGUCUGGGAAACUGCCUGAUGGAGGGGGAUAACUACUGGAAACGGUAGCUAAUACCGCAUAACGUCGCAAGCCCAAAGAGGGGGACCUUCGGGCCUCUUGCCAUCGGAUGUGCCCAGAUGGGAUUAGCUAGUAGGUGGGGUAACGGCUCACCUAGGCGACGAUCCCUAGCUGGUCUGAGAGGAUGACCAGCCACACUGGAACUGAGACACGGCCCAGACUCCUACGGGAGGCAGCAGUGGGGAAUAUUGCACAAUGGGCGCAAGCCUGAUGCAGCCAUGCCGCGUGUAUGAAGAAGGCCUUCGGGUUGUAAAGUACUUUCAGCGGGGAUGAAGGGAGUAAAGUUAAUACCUUUGCUCAUUGACGUUACCCGCAGAAGAAGCACCGGCUAACUCCG